GCCUGGGUGGCUCAGUCAGUUAAGCGUCUGACUUCGGCUCAGGUCAUGAUCUCACAGUUCAUGGGUUCGAGUCCCGUGUCGGGCU
RNAcentral lists this transfer RNA (85 nucleotides) under Felis catus (domestic cat). It matches the Rfam family "tRNA". From Rfam's summary of the family: Transfer RNA (tRNA) molecules are approximately 80 nucleotides in length. Lineage: Eukaryota; Metazoa; Chordata; Mammalia; Carnivora; Felidae. The record is from Rfam by way of RNAcentral. RNAcentral also lists the same sequence under 2 other names.